This 76-nucleotide transfer RNA is filed under the name Candidatus Sungbacteria bacterium RIFCSPHIGHO2_02_FULL_47_11. Its description in RNAcentral is "tRNA-Ala". It matches the Rfam family "tRNA". Rfam says of the family: Transfer RNA (tRNA) molecules are approximately 80 nucleotides in length. Their secondary structure includes four short double-helical elements and three loops (D, anti-codon, and T loops). Further hydrogen bonds mediate the characteristic L-shaped molecular structure. tRNAs have two regions of fundamental functional importance: the anti-codon, which is responsible for specific mRNA codon recognition, and the 3' end, to which the tRNAs corresponding amino acid is attached (by aminoacyl-tRNA synthetases). tRNAs cope with the degeneracy of the genetic code in two manners: having more than one tRNA (with a specific anti-codon) for a particular amino acid; and 'wobble' base-pairing, i.e. permitting non-standard base-pairing at the 3rd anti-codon position. Lineage: Bacteria; Candidatus Sungiibacteriota. The record is from RNAcentral.
GGGUCGGUAGCUCAGCUGGGAGAGCGCUUCGUUCGCAAUGAAGAGGCCGGGGGUUCAACUCCCCCCCGAUCCACCA